This 499-nucleotide ribosomal RNA is filed under the name uncultured bacterium. Its description in RNAcentral is "partial 16S ribosomal RNA". It matches the Rfam family "Bacterial small subunit ribosomal RNA", at positions 899 to 1397 of the family's 1533-position model. The record is from RNAcentral.
ACUCAAAUGAAUAGACGGGGGCCCGCACAAGCGGUGGAGGAUGUGGUUUAAUUCGACGCAACGCGAAGAACCUUACCUGGGCUUGACAUCCCGUGACCGCGCCAGAGAUGGCGUUUCCUCUUCGGAGGCACGGAGACAGGUGCUGCAUGGCUGUCGUCAGCUCGUGUCGUGAGAUGUUGGGUUAAGUCCCGCAACGAGCGCAACCCUUGUCCUUAGUUGCCAGCGGGUUAUGCCGGGCACUCUAGGGAAACUGCCGGUGAUAAGCCGGAGGAAGGUGGGGAUGACGUCAAGUCCUCAUGGCCUUUAUGCCCAGGGCCACACACGUCCUACAAUGGCGCCGACAAUGAGCAGCAAGCCAGCGAUGGUGAGCGAAUCUCAAAAACGGCGUCUCAGUUCGGAUUGUAGUCUGCAACUCGACUACAUGAAGUUGGAAUCGCUAGUAAUCGCGCAACAGCAUGGCGCGGUGAAUACGUUCCCGGGCCUUGUACACACCGCCCGU